Molecule: transfer RNA, 71 nt
Filed under: Loxodonta africana (African savanna elephant)
Lineage: Eukaryota; Metazoa; Chordata; Mammalia; Proboscidea; Elephantidae
Rfam family: tRNA
About the family: Transfer RNA (tRNA) molecules are approximately 80 nucleotides in length.
Source: Rfam by way of RNAcentral
GCAUUGGUGGUUCAGUGGUAGAACUCGGACCUUCCGUGUGGGAGACCCGGGUUCAAUUCCUGGCCACCGUA